This is an RNA transcript of Achroia grisella, 2001 nucleotides long. It is a transcript of the gene named dihydroorotate dehydrogenase (quinone), mitochondrial, with no coding region annotated. Lineage: Eukaryota; Metazoa; Arthropoda; Insecta; Lepidoptera; Pyralidae. The record is from RefSeq and is a predicted model, not a curated record. The transcript has 6 exons.
CCAUUUCAGUGAAAGGAAAAGUACUAUACACUACGCUCAUGACAGCGUCAGUAUAAUCGCAUUAUUGACAGAUGUCAUUUACGCUACAUAAUUAUCCCACGUGAUAUCAUUUGAAAAAUAUUUUGGUUAAUAUUACAACUUUAUUAAUAAAAGAAACAAAGAUCACAAUUAUUCGUUGUACAAAAUAAUAUUUUAUUUUUCGUUAAUUUGGUUUAUUCCUAAGUCAACUGCUAUAUCAAAAUAAAUUAUUGUCGGCAUGAGUUCAAAACAAAACGCUAUUAAAAAAAUAAAGUCACUAUGUUAUUUGACUUUAGGAGGAUCUAUUGCAUACCAACUAAUUUAUAUAAAAAAGGACUUCAAUGGAUAUUAUGGAAAAGUUUUGGAACCAGCAAGUCAAUACCUAAACCCAGAGUUGGCACAUAAAUUUGGUGUAACUGCUAUCAAAUAUGGUAUCUUUCCCACAGAAAGUUUUACAGACCCUAAAAUUUUAAACACAAAAUUCCUAGACUCAAAUCUAAGUAGUCCGGUAGGCAUAGCCGCUGGUUUUGACAAACAUGGUGAUGCUGUAUUGGGUUUGAAAAAUAUUGGUUUCUCCAUUAUAGAAGUCGGUUCAGUGACCCCAGAGCCCCAGACUGGUAACCCAAAGCCUAGGGUGUUUCGAUUGCCAGAAGAUAAAGCUGUAAUUAAUAGAUAUGGUUUCAACAGUGAAGGCCAUAAUGAAGUUUAUAAAAAGAUGCAAAGUAUUAACAAAGCAUUAUUAGACAAAUGCCUAUUGGGAAUAAAUUUAGGAAAGAAUAAGUUAUCAGAAAAUGCGAUUCAUGAUUAUACAAUAGGCAUAAAGAAAUUUUAUGAUGUAGCUGAUUAUUUUGUUAUAAACAUCAGCAGUCCUAACACUCCAGGAUUAAGAUCAUUACAAAAGAAAGAAGAGUUACUUGAACUUCUGACAGCAGUAAAUAAAACAAGAAAUUUGCUUCAGUCAGCAAAAAGGAUUCCGCUACUUCUGAAACUGGCCCCAGAUCUGACUAUUGAAGAAAUAAAAGACAUAGUCUAUAUUAUUACAAAGAAGGAAAGUAAUGUUGAUGGUCUUAUAAUCUCAAAUACCACAAUUGACAAACCCUCAUUAAUUAAUAAAACAUUCCCAAAUGAAGCUGGUGGCCUGAGUGGAAAGCCUCUAGCAAAUAAAUCAACAGAAAUGAUUAAAAUUAUUUACAAAUUAACAAAAGGAAAAAUACCAAUAAUUGGUGUUGGAGGAGUUUUUACAGGGCAAGAUGCAUAUGAAAAGAUAAUAGCAGGAGCUAGUGUGAUACAGAUAUAUACAGCUUUAAUUUAUCAUGGUCCUCCGGUAAUCAGCAAAAUAAAAUCAGAAUUAGCAGAAAUAUUAGAAAGAGAGGGCUACAAGAAUGUCAGCGAAGCUGUUGGAAAAGGAGUUAAAUGACAAAAAUUGUUUGUGUAAUAUUGACUACAAACGACAUAAAAUACAAUUUACUGUACUGACAAAAACCUAAACAAAAUUUGCUAUUAAUUUAAACUGAUAUCUUAAAUUGAAAUACAAUUAAUUGUAACAUUUGCUACAAUUAAUUGUAUUUUAUGUCGAAAUUUAAUUUACUUUCUUUCCACCUAUUAUUUCCACAUAUUAAAUUAAAUAGUAAAUAUAUUUUGUUUAUAUGAAAAAGCACAAAAAUGUGUUUUUUUAUUAAGAUAUAUUGCUUUAACAACACAGUAUGUGUGCAAACUCUUCAAAUUGUAGAUAAAAAAGUAAUUUAAAAUUACUUUUAAUAUUCCAGAGGAUAUGUAGUAGAAAAAAAAUCCUUCUUCAAUAAAUGGAACAUUACCAAAUGAAGCUGGUGGAUUUAGUGGAAAGCCUCUAGCAAAUAAAUGAAGAGAAAUUAAAAUUAUUUACAAAUGAACAACAGGAAAAAUACCAAUAAUUGUAAAAACUUCUACAACUCCCUGUAGGAGUUUUUACAGGACAAGAUGCAUAUGAAAAGAUAUUAGUUAGAG